GACAGAGGGUGCAAACGUUGCUCGGAAUUACUGGGCGUAAAGCGCGUGUAGGCUGACCGGAAAGUCGGGCGUGAAAGCCCUGGGCUCAACCCAGGAACUGCACUCGAAACUCCCGGUCUAGAGUGGUGGAGAGGGAAGUGGAAUUCCUGGUGUAGAGGUGAAAUUCGUAGAUAUCGGGAGGAACACCUGUGGCGAAAGCGGCUCACUGGACCACAACUGACGCUGAGGCGCGAAAGCUAGGGGAGCAAACAGG
This 253-nucleotide ribosomal RNA is filed under the name uncultured bacterium. Its description in RNAcentral is "partial 16S ribosomal RNA". It matches the Rfam family "Bacterial small subunit ribosomal RNA", at positions 524 to 776 of the family's 1533-position model. The record is from RNAcentral.